UCGGAUAUGGUGUAACGGCUAACAUUGCCGCCUCUCACUGAGAAGUGGUCGCGACCGGGAGGAGGGCUUCCCGGUCACUUGAUCACUUGAUCGCGGCAGCUCGGGGUUCGAUUCCCCGAAUCCGAA
Molecule: non-coding RNA, 126 nt
Organism: Lactifluus subvellereus
Lineage: Eukaryota; Fungi; Basidiomycota; Agaricomycetes; Russulales; Russulaceae
Source: the annotation of a GenBank genome assembly